GACAUCAGGAGGUUAGUGCAAUGGCAUAAGCCAGCUUGACUGCGAGCGUGACGGCGCGAGCAGGUGCGAAAGCAGGUCAUAGUGAUCCGGUGGUUCUGAAUGGAAGGGCCAUCGCUCAACGGAUAAAAGGUACUCCGGGGAUAACAGGCUGAUACCGCCCAAGAGUUCAUAUCGACGGCGGUGUUUGGCACCUCGAUGUCGGCUCAUCACAUCCUGGGGCUGAAGUAGGUCCCAAGGGUAUGGCUGUUCGCCAUUUAAAGUGGUACGCGAGCUGGGUUUAGAACGUCGUGAGACAGUUCGGUCCCUAUCUGCCGUGGGCGCUGGAGAACUGAGGGGGGCUGCUCCUAGUACGAGAGGACCGGAGUGGACGCAUCACUGGUGUUCGGGUUGUCAUGCCAAUGGCACUGCCCGGUAGCUAAAUGCGGAAGAGAUAAGUGCUGAAAGCAUCUAAGCACGAAACUUGCCCCG
RNAcentral lists this ribosomal RNA (468 nucleotides) under Escherichia coli. Its description in RNAcentral is "partial 23S ribosomal RNA". It matches the Rfam family "Bacterial large subunit ribosomal RNA", at positions 2334 to 2801 of the family's 2925-position model. Lineage: Bacteria; Pseudomonadati; Pseudomonadota; Gammaproteobacteria; Enterobacterales; Enterobacteriaceae. The record is from RNAcentral.